RNAcentral lists this ribosomal RNA (468 nucleotides) under uncultured bacterium. Its description in RNAcentral is "partial 16S ribosomal RNA". It matches the Rfam family "Bacterial small subunit ribosomal RNA", at positions 28 to 507 of the family's 1533-position model. The record is from RNAcentral.
GAUGAACGCUGGCGGCGUGCUUAACACAUGCAAGUCGAACGGAAAGGCCGAAGCUUGCUUCGGUACUCGAGUGGCGAACGGGUGAGUAACACGUGGGUGAUCUGCCCUGUACUUCGGGAUAAGCUUGGGAAACUGGGUCUAAUACCGGAUAUGACGAUCUCUUGGAUGGGGUUGUGGAAAGCUUUUGCGGUAUGGGAUGAGCUCGCGGCCUAUCAGCUUGUUGGUGGGGUAAUGGCCUACCAAGGCGUCGACGGGUAGCCGGCCUGAGAGGGUGUACGGCCACAUUGGGACUGAGAUACGGCCCAGACUCCUAAGGGGGGCAGCAGUGGGGAAUAUUGCACAAUGGGCGCAAGCCUGAUGCAGCGACGCCGCGUGGGGGAUGACGGCCUUCGGGUUGUAAACUCCUUUCGCAAUCGACGAAGCCUUUUGGUGACGGUAGGUUGAGAAGAAGCACCGGCUAACUACGUG